This 459-nucleotide ribosomal RNA is filed under the name uncultured bacterium. Its description in RNAcentral is "partial 16S ribosomal RNA". It matches the Rfam family "Bacterial small subunit ribosomal RNA", at positions 338 to 795 of the family's 1533-position model. The record is from RNAcentral.
CCUACGGGAGGCUGCAGUGAGGAAUAUUGGUCAAUGGGAGAGAUCCUGAACCAGCCAAGUAGCGUGCAGGAUGACGGCCCUACGGGUUGUAAACUGCUUUUAUACGGGAAUAACGCGCCUUACGUGUAGGGCUUUGCAUGUACCUUAUGAAUAAGGACCGGCUAAUUCCGUGCCAGCAGCCGCGGUAGUACGGAAGGCCCGAGCGUUAUCCGGAUUCAUUGGGCUUAAAGGGUGCGCAGGGGGCGAGUUAAGUCAGCGGUAAAAUGUCGGGGCUCAACCCCGACAAGCCGUUGAAACUGGCGGGCUAGAGUGGGCGAGAAGUAGGCGGAAUGCGUGGUGUAGCGGUGAAAUGCAUAGAUAUCACGCAGAACUCAGAUUGCGAAGGCAGCAUACCGGAGCCCAACUGACGCUCAGGCACGAAAGCGUGGGUAUCGAACAGGAUUAGAUACCCUGGUAGUC